UGAAAAAAAAAAUGUUAGGUGCUACUCUAAAUGAGAAGAAAAGCUGAUACAAUUACAAAAAUAAAAUCUAAUUCUAAUCAAAAUUUAAAAUUAACACGAAGAAAAAUAUUUUUUUUUAACCGCAAGUUCUUGUGUUCAAGUGCAAUUUAUCUUAAUCUUUACUUCGUAUGGGCAUACUUUCAAUCUAUCUUAUAAACAGAAAAAUCGUUAUACGUCAUGUCAAGGAUUCGUGAACGUGAAGUUCUGAAAAAUCAUAGUAAAAUAAUCUUAAAUUCUCAAAAAUAUCUCAAUAUAUCAUCAUUGUAGUACCUAAUAUGUCUAAGAUAUCGAUUUCAGUUAUCGACUUAAUUAUCUCAAAAUAUUCUUUGACUUAUCAAGUCAUCAUCAUAGGUAUACAGUAGUCGUAGCAUCUUCGGGUUCCUAUUCUAUGAACCGUAAUAAUUAUUAUUCUUUAACAUCUCAGGAAUUUAUAUUACCUGUACAGUCAAAAUAAAUCUCUCCUAGUCUUCAUAUUCUUUCAAGUUACUUCAUCAGAUAUCACAUAAUAUAAGUAAAUACAUAAACAAAUAAACAAACGCGGCGCGUACUCUCCUAAUUAACAUUUACCAUAACAUGCUUUCAAGCAUUUUUCAUAAUACUUAUAAUCUUCAUCAUCAACUUAUUUCUUUCAAUAACAUUCAACUUUUCAUAAAGAUUCUAGGUCUUUCACUAACACCAGCGCGGUAGAUAAUGAUCAAGAGUCUAGACAAAUAUAUAGUUGAAUGAGGAGGCACAAAAUAUGCGCAAAACAUCGCGUUCAACAUAAAAAUAAAUAACAAUCAUCUUCAACGUCAAUAUGUCUCAAUCCGAAGUAACUAUUUGAACAUUAUUCAAAAUAUUUAUUGUAUAUUUAGCACUUCUACAGCCGAAGGGUGAUCAAGCCUUGGGUUUGCAGAGUCCUAAUUUGUCAAAGUCGGGUAAAGUCUUUAAUCGUCACAACUAGCACGAAACUAGACGAAAAACGUAUACAGGGGAGAAAAUUCU
Long non-coding RNA from Maniola jurtina (meadow brown), 1023 nucleotides. RefSeq lists it as uncharacterized. The transcript is spliced from 3 exons. The record is from RefSeq and is a predicted model, not a curated record. NCBI's taxonomy places the organism in Eukaryota, Metazoa, Arthropoda, Insecta, Lepidoptera, Nymphalidae.